GGGGCUGAUUCUGGAUUCGACGGGAUUUGCGAAACCCAAGGUGCAUGCCGAGGGGCGGUUGGCCUCGUAAAAAGCCGCAAAAAAAUAGUCGCAAACGACGAAACCUACGCUUUAGCAGCUUAAUAACCUGCUUAGAGCCCUCUCUCCCUAGCCUCCGCUCUUAGGACGGGGAUCAAGAGAGGUCAAACCCAAAAGAGAUCGCGUGGAUGCCUUGCCUAGGGUUGAAGCGUUAAAACGAAUCAGGCUAGUCUGGUAGUGGCGUGUCCGUCCGCAGGUGCCAGGCGAAUGUAAAGACAGACUAAGCAUGUAGUACCGAGGAUGUAGGAAUUUCGGACGCGGGUUCAACUCCCGCCAGCUCCACCA
RNAcentral lists this transfer-messenger RNA (363 nucleotides) under Salmonella enterica subsp. arizonae. It matches the Rfam family "transfer-messenger RNA". From Rfam's summary of the family: Bacterial tmRNA, also known as 10Sa RNA or SsrA, is named for its dual tRNA and mRNA-like properties. Its role is to liberate the mRNA from a stalled ribosome. The record is from RNAcentral. Lineage: Bacteria; Pseudomonadati; Pseudomonadota; Gammaproteobacteria; Enterobacterales; Enterobacteriaceae.